This 969-nucleotide ribosomal RNA is filed under the name Cassava witches'-broom aster yellows phytoplasma. RNAcentral describes it as "bacterial SSU rRNA". It matches the Rfam family "Bacterial small subunit ribosomal RNA", at positions 268 to 1246 of the family's 1533-position model. The record is from RNAcentral. Lineage: Bacteria; Bacillati; Mycoplasmatota; Mollicutes; Acholeplasmatales; Acholeplasmataceae.
CCAAGACUAUGAUGUGUAGCCGGGCUGAGAGGUUGAACGGCCACAUUGGGACUGAGACACGGCCCAAACUCCUACGGGAGGCAGCAGUAGGGAAUUUUCGGCAAUGGAGGAAACUCUGACCGAGCAACGCCGCGUGAACGAUGAAGUAUUUCGGUACGUAAAGUUCUUUUAUUAGGGAAGAAUAAAUGAUGGAAAAAUCAUUCUGACGGUACCUAAUGAAUAAGCCCCGGCUAACUAUGUGCCAGCAGCCGCGGUAAUACAUAGGGGGCAAGCGUUAUCCGGAAUUAUUGGGCGUAAAGGGUGCGUAGGCGGUUAAAUAAGUUUAUGGUCUAAGUGCAAUGCUUAACAUUGUGAUGCUAUAAAAACUGUUUAGCUAGAGUAAGAUAGAGGCAAGUGGAAUUCCAUGUGUAGUGGUAAAAUGCGUAAAUAUAUGGAGGAACACCAGUAGCGAAGGCGGCUUGCUGGGUCUUUACUGACGCUGAGGCACGAAAGCGUGGGGAGCAAACAGGAUUAGAUACCCUGGUAGUCCACGCCGUAAACGAUGAGUACUAAAUGUUGGGUAAAACCAGUGUUGAAGUUAACACAUUAAGUACUCCGCCUGAGUAGUACGUACGCAAGUAUGAAACUUAAAGGAAUUGACGGGACUCCGCACAAGCGGUGGAUCAUGUUGUUUAAUUCGAAGGUACCCGAAAAACCUCACCAGGUCUUGACAUGCUUCUGCAAAGCUGUAGAAACACAGUGGAGGUUAUCAGUUGCACAGGUGGUGCAUGGUUGUCGUCAGCUCGUGUCGUGAGAUGUUGGGUUAAGUCCCGCAACGAGCGCAACCCUUAUUGUUAGUUGCCAGCACGUAAUGGUGGGGACUUUAGCAAGACUGCCAGUGAUAAAUUGGAGGAAGGUGGGGACGACGUCAAAUCAUCAUGCCCCUUAUGACCUGGGCUACAAACGUGAUACAAUGGCUGUUACAAAGGG